RNAcentral lists this signal recognition particle RNA (266 nucleotides) under Clostridiales bacterium. Its description in RNAcentral is "signal recognition particle sRNA large type". It matches the Rfam family "Bacterial large signal recognition particle RNA". From Rfam's summary of the family: The signal recognition particle (SRP) is a universally conserved ribonucleoprotein involved in the co-translational targeting of proteins to membranes. The record is from RNAcentral. Lineage: Bacteria; Bacillati; Bacillota; Clostridia; Eubacteriales.
CCGUGCUAGACGGGGAGCUAGCGGUGCCCUGUAACCCACAACCCGCUCCAGUGGGGUCGAAGACCUGGCUGAGGCCGGUCUUUUUCUGGCCUGUGUCCGGGUAAGUGGCGAUGAGGGUUGGGGCCCCGGGCAAAGAGCCUCCUGUAAACCCCGCCAGGACCGGAAGGGAGCAACGGUAGCAGGCAGGCCUCUUGUGCCCGGUCAGCCUUGCCUGAGCAAACUGUCUGGAUAACGCAGGGGAAGGUCGGUCGAAGCAGGUUGCACGG